Molecule: non-coding RNA, 348 nt
Organism: Eubacterium sp. CAG:38
Lineage: Bacteria; Bacillati; Bacillota; Clostridia; Eubacteriales; Eubacteriaceae
Rfam family: Bacterial RNase P class A
About the family: Ribonuclease P (RNase P) is a ubiquitous endoribonuclease, found in archaea, bacteria and eukarya as well as chloroplasts and mitochondria.
Source: Rfam
UGAGUAGCACAGAUGAUUGCGGCUGCAAUUGCCGAAAGGCAGCAGGUGAGGAAAGUCCGGGCUUCACAGGGCAGGAUGCCGGAUAACGUCCGGUGGAGGUGACUCCAAGGCUAGUGCAACAGAAAUAAACCGCCAGCAUAUGCUGGUAAGGGUGGAAAGGCAGUGUAAGGGACUACCGCGCGGCUGGUAACAGAAGCGGCAGAUGUAAACCCCAUCCGAAGCAAGACCGAAUAAAAGCGAUACGGCGGCCCGUCGUGCUUUAGGUAGGUUGCUUGAGCCUGCUGGUAACAGCAGGACUAGAUAGAUAAUCAUCUGAUACAUAACCCGGCUUAUAGUGCUGCUCAGUUG